RNAcentral lists this small RNA (76 nucleotides) under Sphingobium sp. TKS. RNAcentral's name for it is "Makes More Granules Regulator RNA (mmgR)". It matches the Rfam family "Makes More Granules Regulator RNA (mmgR)". Rfam says of the family: SuhB later renamed mmgR (makes more granules regulator) was a putative non-coding RNA found multiple times in the Agrobacterium tumefaciens genome and related alpha-proteobacteria. Other non-coding RNAs uncovered in the same analysis include: speF, ybhL, metA, and serC. Several studies inSinorhizobium meliloti showed that suhB element is indeed a non-coding RNA:firstly it was detected on Northern blot and called Sm8RNA, secondly in an RNAseq study referred to as SmelC689. Lineage: Bacteria; Pseudomonadati; Pseudomonadota; Alphaproteobacteria; Sphingomonadales; Sphingobiaceae. The record is from Rfam by way of RNAcentral.
CCGACGCGCCUUUUAGGCAUCCUCUUCCAAGACUUUACGGGCUCGGCUAAUGGCCGAGCCCUUUUUCGUUUGGUGC